CUAUCUUCUUCAGAUCAGUUGACAUUGUAGGCAUCCGUCUCCCUCAGAGAAGUCUCUUUUUUGGAUCAGCUGGAAUUGGUAACAUCUGUCUCCUUCAGACAACUAUCUUUGGCUCGGUUGAAGGGCCAGAGAGUGGUAUUCUGCUGCCACAAGAAGGUAAGGUAAGAGGAGAAGAUGGGAGAUAUUCGGAAGCCUUGUUCUUCCCUCUACCCAAUUUUUAAAGAUGCUCCUUGGUUAUUUGUCCUUCAUAAAUCCCAUGCUCCCAGGGAGUGUUCUGGUUAAUUUUCUGAUUUUUUUGGGUUUGUCUCCAUCCAAAUGGCAGGAGAAUUACCACCUCCCCACAAGGAGAAAAAAAACACAGUAGUAUGCUCCCCCUGCCCCCAAUUUCACCACCUGGAAAUAGGAAAUUCUAGGAGCUCAUUUUUCACUCAGCCCUAAAAUACACACCCACCUCUGCAGGGCUCCCAUCUGCACCCUUAAGUACUCCUUUCCUUGGGUGCAUUUCCAGCAUCUUAAAUUAGUUUCCGAAGGGAGGGUGUUCCACUGGGCAGGCACCACCACCAAGAAGGCCCUCUGCCUGGUUCCCUGUAACUUCACUUCUCACAGGGAGGGAACUGCCAGAAGGCCCUCGGAGCUGGACCUCAGUGAACAAUGGGGGUGGAGACGGUCCUUCAGGUAUACUGGACUGGGGCCGUUUUGGGCUUUAAAGGUCAGCACCAACACUUUGAAUUGUGUAGGUCUUUCAGGACUGGUGUUAUAUGGUCUUGGUGGCCACUCCCAGUCACCAGUCUAGCUGCCGCAUUCUGGAUUAGUUGUUGUUUCCAGGUCACCUUCAAAGGCAGUCCCACAUAGAGUGCACUGCAGUAGUCCAAGCGGGAGAUAACCAGAGCAUGCACCACUCUGGUGAGACAGUCCGUGGGCAGGUAGGGUCUCAGCCUGCGUAACAGAUGGAGCUGGUAAACAGCUGCCCUGGACACAUAAUUGACCUGCACCUCCAUGGACAGCUGUGAGUCCAAAAUGACUCCCAGGCUGCUCACCUGCUCCUUCAGGGGUACAGUUACCCCAUUCAGGACCAGGGAGUCCUCCGCACUUGCCCGCUCCCUGUCCUCCAAAAACAGUACUUCUGUCUUGUCAGGAUUCAACCUCAAUCUGGGGUUGAAACAGCAGCAAAGUGGACUCUAGGCAAGCAUUCUUAGAGGGCAAGUCCCACGACUGGGGUGCCACUGCCAAAAAGGCCCUCUGCCUGGUUCCCUGUAACCUCACUUCUCACAGGGAGGAAACUGCCAGUAGGCCCUCAGAGCUGGACCUCAAUGUCUGGGCUGAAAUGAGGAUGGAGACGCUCCUUCAGGUAUACUGGGCCGAGGCUGUUUAGGGCUUUAAAGGUCAGCACCACCACUUUGAAUUGUGUUGCAAAACCUUUGCAGUUCUCACAGAGGCUUUUAAGAAUGUGAUGCUUUUAAUCUUGUGCUGUGUUUCAACAUGGCCGAUUUACACCCUGGAAUUUUUAAGGCUUGCAUUAUGUGUUGCUUGAUAUGAUAAGAUAUAUCGAGAGAGAUUUAUGUCUUUCCUCUCUUUUCUCAUGAUUGCUUUAGCCCUGGUUUAUAACAUUGCAUUGUUUUUCAUUUUGGGUUUUUUUUUUAAAAUUCUUUUAAUACUUUUGGUAUGGCGGCCUAGGGAAAAAUGAAAGUUAUCAGCCACUUAAUAGAGUAGCAUAAAAUAAAUGGCAUCUAGAACUACAUUUAAGAGCAGGUAGUUUAAAAAAAUACGGAGUGAGCCUUCAAGAUACCUUCCUUCACCCCUGUGUUUUCAACAAAAGCGGGGAUGUAUUAUAAUACAGGAAUUAUAUCCCUUUAUAAUUAUAAUUAAAGGAAAAGUUAGGCUUCUUCAUCAAUGCCCUUCUUAAAUUAAACAUGUUCUCUGAUUGCCUCAUCAUGAAAAGGCAAUCAACCUGAGUGGAAGAUUUUUUAAUACCUUCGCUAAACAAAUGGCAGCUCUCCUUAUUCUCCAGCGUAGCUGCAGGUUACCUUACUUAUCAGAUAUAAUCUUCUAAAUCAUAAACUACUUCAUUUGGUUUUUGCCCCCCUUCCCUGCAGAAUACCUUCUGCACAAUGUGAAAUUGUCCUAGGAGGGAUUAAUAAUUAAACUUCAAAUUUAAAGUAGGCUGUCAGAAGAAUGGAAGGAGGGAAAAGGAUGGCGCUAAUGAUUCUAGCUUGGGGGCCUUCUCCGCGACGGAGGCUUUGAUCAGUUUGCGGUGUUGCGGGGGAGCAAGUGGCCUCCUGCAGCCUUGCUCAGGCUGGGCUUCUAAGAGUUAGAGCACAGAUCAACAGUCAUGGGUACUGCUGCCAGUACCUUGCUUAGAUGCUAGAGUCAUCCUUGAGUUUUCAUUUGGAAUGAAAGGUGGGGCACAAAAAUGAAACAAUUCAAAGUUCUGGUUUUGACCUAUAAAGACCUUGAGGACUGCCUCAUUUCAGAUGAACUUACUUGGAUUCUGUUUCAUCUUCUGAGGCCCUUCUUCAUGUGCCUCCUUCACAAGAGGUCUGGAGGGUGGCAACACGAGAACGGGGCCUUCUCUGCAGUGGCUCCCUGUUUGUUGAAUGCUCUCCCCAGGGAAGUUCGCCUGGCGCCUUCAUUAUACACUUUUAGGCUCCUGGCAAAAACAUUCCUCUUUAACCAGGCCUUUGGCUGUUUAAUAUCCAAUUCCCUUUUAAAAUGUGUUGGGAGGGGGUUCUCGGUUUGCUUUUGUUUUAAUUGUGUCGUUUGUGCUUUUAUAUUGUGAUUUUAACUUGUGGACUGCCCUGAGACCUGCGGACAUAGUAAAAGGUAAAGGGACCCCUGAAAAUUAGGUCCAGUCGUGACCGACUCUGGGGUUGCGGCGCUCAUCUCACUUUAUUGGCCGAGGGAGCCAGCGUACAGCUUCCAGGUCAUGUGGCCAGCAUGACUAAGCCACUUCUGGCGAACCAGAGCAGUGCACGGAAACGCUGUUUACCUUCCUGCCGGAGUGGUACCUAUUUAUCUACUUGCACUUUGAUGUGCUUUGAUAUGCGGGCAUAGGGCAAUAUAUAAAUUUAAUAAUAAUAAAUAUAGUUCCUCAAACAAUGGGGAAGGGGCACGAUAUUCCCCAAAACAAGAGUGGGAAACCUCUGGCCCAUAAGCCAAAUUCCAGACCUCUCCAUUUGGCCUACGAAGCUAUUGCACAUCAUAGUGCUUGAAACUGUGAUAUCUGAUUAGGAAGGAUAAAUGUCUGGAUGGCAAUUUGUCCAAUCAUAAGGCCCAGUUAGUGCUUUCUUGGUGCAGCCAGUGUCAGCAGGAUAUUUCUCGUGGAAAGGGUGAUGGGUACUUCAAUGCACUCUGGGCUUUGGAAGUUAAAAGGAAAAUAGUCCCCGGGUCGAUAAAUGAAAAUGAAGGGAUGGCUCCACUGUAAAAGAUGGAAAGUGAUCGCUUUGAUAAAUUGCGGUUGGACCAGCUGGUGGUUAGCAUCCCGAGGUGUGGGGAGGACAGUCAUGGAAAGAUAAAGGACUCAAGGAAGACAUCAGUUUCCCACAGAUAUCCAUAAUUCACGGAACACUGUCAAAUAUCAUGUCAUUGACAGCCCAAAAGGGAUGUGGGAAGGUGACUUCCCUUGUUGUUCUUUAAUGAAAUAUGAGUAGAUCAAAGAGGAGGACCAGAGAGGCUGAAGGAACAGGAUCAGAAGUCCAGCUGACCAAUGGUAAAAGCAACUGUUUCUACCCAGGGGUGCAGCCAAUACUUUCCUUAUCCAAAUUUCUGAUUGGAUGGCUCCAGGAUGCUGGGGACAGGGGCCCUGCUGCAGAAAUAGUAAAGGUAAAAGGGUAAAGGACGCCUGGACGGUUAAGUCCAGUCAAAGGUGACUAUGAGGUGCGGAGCUCAUCUCGCUUUUCAGGCCAAAGGAGCUGGCGUUUGUCCACAGACAGCUUUCCGGAUCAUGUGGCUAGCAUGACUAAACCGCUUCUGGUGCAACAGGACACCGUGACAGAAACCAGAGUGCACAGAAACACCCUUUACCUUCCUGCCAGAGCAGUACCUAUUUAUCUACUUGCACUGGUGUGCUUUCGAACAGUGAGGUUGGCAGGAGCUGGGACAGAGCAAUGGGAGCUCACCUCAUUGGGGAUUCGAGCCACCGACCUUCUGAUCGGCAAGCGCAAGAGGCUUAGUGCAACCCCACUCUACUAAACCACCAGGUGGGUGAAGAGGCGCCAGCUAGCACCUUUCGCAAUGCUUUGUCCAAUGGUCUGUUGGGAUUUUGCCUCACCUGUUAGGGCCUUGACUUCCCCUAAGCCUUAAACUGUAAUGGCAGGGCAGGACAAUUCCCAUAAUUCAUGCCAGAAAUUCUCAAGGGCUUGUCCACACUUCUGUUUGCCCUGUGCCUAGAAACAGUUUUCUGCUUGUCCCAUGAUUUCCAGGCACAGGUCUGAGCACUUUCCCACUUUUCCCUGGGAAAACCCACUCUUUAGAUGUCAUGAAUGAGCCAGCUCCCAGUGACGGUUUGCAGCCAGCUCCCAGUGAAGGUUUGGAACCAGCUGAAGAAAGCGGCCAGGAACAGAAAGGGUUAACUUCCAGGCAGGAUGAGCACCGGCUAGUGCCAACUCCCCCCGCCCCUUGGAAUGCCGGUUGAUAAGGGAAUGGCUGAGAGCGGGCCGGAACCCAGCCAAUGCUCUCGAAAAGUGCAAACUGGUGCAAAGAGAGAAGGAAGCAGUUUGUCAGAACGGGAAAAGAUUGGAGCUGAGCCAAUCCCUCCUAAGAGUAGGCUAAUGGGAGGGCUGUUAGACCAGAAACAAAGCAAGAGGUGCAAAGUGAGAAAGCUCAAUAUCUUCUGUACCCGGAAGGAGUCUUCAGAAGGGUCAUCGUGAUUGAUGAUGCUGGGAGGCUGUGUUAAAGCUGUCCAGAGCUAUCUGUUGUUUUGACAAUAAAUCAUCCUUUUUAAUUAACUACGCUUACUGUGUGGUCAAGCUGUGGACUGGAUUCCUGGCAUUAGAGCUGAAUCAGUGCAGACGUCAGUCCGCAGAAAACUCGACUGACGUUUGCUCCAAUUGAGGAGUAAGAAGUGGGUUUUCCCCGGGAGGAAGCAGUGGGACAAGCUGAAGUCUGGACAAGCCCUUAGUUAAACUGGAAUCCAGGAGUGGAGACACAUUAAUCAGAGGCCACAUCCAAGAAUGGAACCAGGGGAUUCACCUGUGUUUCUGUAUAUGCAGAGCUUUUGCACAUAACAAAAAUAUGCUAGGUACAAAUAAUAUCCCUGUGGGGGAAACCCAUCAAGUCGAGUGCAACUGGUGUAAUACAAUUGAGUUUUGCAUUCUGAGUGUGUGGCUCUGGCAGUUGCUGUACCCUUGGAUCCUGACAAGAUAAUAGCCCACACUUCCAAUGUAAAGGGGUUCCUAUGGCUUAUCCUUUCCCACGAAUCCUUGCCCUGUGUGCAGUCAAUUACUUACCAAGGCUGUGAUCCAAUAUACUUUCCCCUAAGCGCAAGUCCCAUUGAACUAAAUGUGGCUGACAUUUGUCUAGACCAGGGGUAGGCAACCUAAGGCCCGGGGGCCGGAUGUGGCCCAAUCGCCUUCUAAAUCCUGUCCGUGGACGGUCCGGGAAUAGCGUGUUUUUACAUGAGUAGCAUGUGUGCUUUUAUUUAAAAUGCAUCUCUGGGUUAUUUGUGGGGCCUGCCUGGUGGUUUUACAUGAGUAGCAUGUGUGCUUUUAUUUAAAAUGCAUCUCUGGGUUAUUUGUGGGGCACAGGUAUUCGUUCAUUAUUAUUUUUUUCAAAAUAUAGUCCAGCUCCCCACAAGGUCUGAGGGACGGUGGACCGGCCCACAGCUGAAAAGGUUGCUGACCCCUGGUCUAGGCAUACAGAGGAGGAGUUGCAGAAAGCAUCCCAUGUUUCCUUGCCACCGAACAGACCCAGACGCACUGCUGUAGCAGCCGUGUCUUGUCGUGCCCCCCCCCUGAGCAAAGCGACGCCACUUGCGAGAAGCAUUCGUUUCUCAGGCAGAGCACGGCGGAUGACACCAGCACCGCAGUGUACACAUGGAAGCAAUUUGCGAGCAUUAAUUCCACUUGGUUGGAGAGAAUGAUGUAUGUGCCGUUUGUGAGAAGAUGCACAGGGGUUCAUGCUGUGGCAUUCAUUGACUCAUGCAGGCCGAGCUGUUUACAGGGCUUCAUUGUAGACCCGAAGGUGUAAAUAUAUGUCUCUCUCUUUCUCUGCUGUCUCUCCCUCUCCCCUACAAUGAUCACCUCCCUCCCGUAGGCUGACUCGCCAAUCCAAGACUCACUGCCAGUAGCAGCUGUCACAUUGAAUCACUAGAGAUAUUUUAGGAUUUGGCCAUUGAUGAAUGUGUAGGAUGCAGUUGCUCAUGCCUGUGGCAGGAAGGCGAAGGCUGGAGAAACUGCUGCCAUUAAACAUUCCCCCAGCACAUCACUGGGGCCACCAUGGAUAUAUGGCAGCCCAUGUAAAACUCUCUGGUCCUGAAUGGGGUAACUGUGCCCCUGAAGGACCAGGUGCACAGCCUGGGAGUCAUUUUGGACUCACAGCUGUCCAUGGAGGCGCAGGUUAAUUCUGUGUCCAGGGCGGCUGUUUACCAGCUCCAUCUGGUAUGCAGGCUGAGACCCUACCUGCCCGUGGACUGUCUCGCCAGAGUGGUACAUGCUAUGGUUAUCUCCCGCUUGGACUACUGCAAUGCGCUCUACGUAGGGCUACCUUUGAAGGUGACCCAGAAAAUACAACUAAUCCAGAAUGCGGCAGCUAGACUGGUGACUGGGAGUGGUCGCUGAUAACACCAGUAUUGAAAGACCUACAUUGGCUCCCAGUACGUUUCCGAGCACAAUUCAAAGUGUUGGUGCUUACCUUUAAAGCCCUAAAUGGCCUCAGUCCAGUAUACCUGAAGGGGCGUCUCCAUCCCCAUCGUUCUGCCCGGACACUGAGAUCCAGUGCCGAGGGCCUUCUGGUGGUUCCCUUGCUGCGAGAAGCUAAGUUACAGGGAACCAGGCAGAGGGCCUUCUCGGUGGUGGCACGCGCCCUGUGGAACGCCCUCCCACCAGAUGUCAAAGAGAAAAACAAAUACCAGACUUUUAGAAGACAUCUGAAGGCAGCCCUGUUUAGGGAAGCUUUUAAUGUUUUAAUACAGUGGUACCUCUAGAUACGAACGGGAUCCGUUCCAGAGCCCCAUUCGCAUCUAGAAGCAAAUGUAACUAGCGGCAGCACGUCUGUGCACGCGUGCGCCGCUUUUCGCCACUUCUGCGCAUGGGCAUGACGUCAUUGAGUGUCUGCGCAUGCGCAAGCGACAAAACCCGGAAGUAAUGUGCUCAGCCCAAAGCGCAUGCAACUCAAGGUAUGACUGUAGACUAUUGUAUUUUAAUAUUUUGUUGGAAGCCACCUAGAGUGGCUGGGGAAACCCAGGCAGAUGGGCGGGGUAUAAAUAAUAAAUUAUUAUUAUUAUUAUUAUUAUUAUUAUUAUUAUUGAUCAUGAACCAUCAGGAAUGGUUCCACUGUUAGUUCAGGGCUGAAGAACCACAGGUCCAGGAGCUGCCUAGGGUCUUCCAAGCAACUCUGUUUGGCCCCACAGGAGUCUCAUCUGGCCAAACCCCCAACUUUGCACCUCCCUCGAGUGCUUUGGCUGGCUGUGAUAUAUAUCCUUGAAUUCUGAUCAUGCCUCUUCCUGCCUGGUUGGAGGACAGAGUAUUGUGUGUGUGUGUGUCUCAUCACAAUGCAUUCUUGAAUGCCAUUUUCACUGCUAAAUUUAUUUUUAUGGGCUCUUCCCCGUAACGUAUACAUUUAGAGAACCGCGUUGCAAAAUUGCGAGAAGUGCGAAUUUCAAAGAAUGUCUGUGCUUCGGUUCUCAUAUUUUUGCUUGCUUUUGAAUGAGAACUGAAAUGAACUGUUUAACUAUAGUUAAAUAAAAUCUAGCAGGAAUUGAAACGAGUACAGCCCAUGGGAACGGAAGAAGGGGAAGAAAGAAAAAUAAUAAUGACAAAAUGAUACGAUAUUUUAAGCAUUGAAUUGGAAUUAGGAAAUGUAUGUUGCAAUGAGCGAUGAUGAUGAUAAUAAUAAUAAUAAUAAUAAUUUAUUACUUAUACCCCGCCCAAUUGGCCAGGCCUCCCCAGCCACUCUGGCAGCUUCCAACAGGGUAUUAAAAACACAAUAAAAAAAUCAAACAUUAAAAACUUCCCUAAACAGGACUGGCUUCAGCAACAAGUAAGGGAGCAAAAAGAAACAUAAUUGUAGUGGGGUAGAAAGUCAACUUUUAAAAUUGCAUUAAAUUUGAAAUAAUUUGAUGUUAAUUUGUUAAAAGUUUUGAAAAGCAGUAAAAAAUUAUGGGCAAAAAGGAGAGAACUGAAAUGAAUGUCUCCCCUAUCCCCUCCUGUGAGUAAAUAUGGCAGCCUUGGGGCCACUUUUAAGCGUUACCCUGGUUUGCCCCUGAGGGUACAUUGUUGUUGUUGUUUUGUCAUUUAGUUGUGUCUGACUCUUCGUGACCCCAUGGACCAGAGCACGCCAGGCACUCCUGUCUUCCACUGCCUCCCGCAGUUUGGUUAACUCAUGCUGGUAGCUUCGAGAACACUGUCCAACCAUCUCAUCCUCCAUUGUCCUCUUCUCCUUGUGCCCUCCAUCUUUCCCAACAUCAGGGUCUUUUCCAGGGAGUCCUCUCUUCUCAUGAGGUGGCCAAAGUAUUGGAGCCUCAGAAGGAUCUGUCCUUCCAGUGAGCACUCAGGGCUGAUUUUCUUCAGAAUGGAGAGGUUUGUUCUUCUUGCAGUCCGUGGGACUCUCAAGAGUCUCCUCCAGCACCAGAAUUCAAAAGCAUCAAUUCUUCGGCGAUCAGCCUUCUUUAUGGUCCAGCUCUCACUUCCACACAUCACUACUGGGAAAACCAUAGCUUUUACUGUGUGCUAUUUGUGAACUCUAGAGGGAGCUGCAGAAAAUCUCAGCUCACAGGCAAGUGCGUCUUGAAUUGCACACAUGCGUUUGCAACCUGAUGCUGGUCACAUACCACCUUACAUUUCCAGGUGCGCAUUGAAAACAUGCUCAAGUGGACACCUGAAAAUGUAAUGUGUGAAGUUUUGCACAAGGUCACUCUCUACUCAAGCGCUCUGCCAUUUCUAGCAAAACGGAAGGUGCUGGGAUAUGCCUGACCUUUCAGUGUGAAGCCUCUGAGAGCAGGGCAGGAGAGUGCUUGGAGAUUCAGCUGAUUAAGAUGAAAUAUUUUCUGUGGUGGGGGAGAGAGAGAGAAUCAAAGGUUGGCUUGCCUUCAAAUGGCAUUUCAUUGUAAAGGUCCGUUUGGUUUUGACAGAGAAUGGGAGAAAAAGCCCCAGGCAAAGGGGCUGGGAUAAUGUAUUUUCCAAGCCUGCUCUGACAAAGGGGUCGGAGCGCCUGGAUUCCCCUCUGCUGGAAGGUGUGGAGAGAGAAACAGAAGACACCAUGCGCAGAAAAGGGGCCAUCGUCUGCAGGUUUAAUCAGAAGUAAGCCCCACUGAUUCACACUGCUAAGCAAGCGUGCAAACUGCAGGCUUUGUUUUGUGGUUCGAGGACCCGACCCCCGCGAUGUGAAAUAAAUACACAAGGACACGUGAUAUAAGGUUAAUGGGCAAGAAAAGGCCACAACUUUAUUGAUUACAGCAGUGAAAAGGUAUUGGCUUAGGCAUUGGAUGUCUAAAACAAGGGGGUUUAUUCACCAGUAGGUGGAGCCUGUUGAUGCUAAUCCAACUAUAGGCUCUCCCCUGAUGUCACCGGGGGGUCGUGCCAUGGCCUCCCGCCAACCAGGCAUCGGACAGAGUACACGACCGCCAGAUUCCUUUAACGGAAUACCCAAAAAUUGAAGGCAUAGGCGAUGGCCACACCCAGCCCUUCGACACACCACAACACAUUAUUCCAAUGCCUAACCUACCCACCAAUACCACAAAAAGUUGUGACGAUUGCUACGAGGUAGGCGAAAAAACCAAAAGCCUAAUGCCAAAUGGAAAAAUUCCUACCAGGCCCCCUAGACAACCAGGGCGACCAACCUAAGGUCCAUAGCAAGGCCAAAGAACAAAGACCCUGAGCUAAAAGGGAGUGGAGGGUGGGUGACUCACGACGAGAGGACGGAGAAGAAUGAGGCCGAGGAGAGGCUGGCACCGCCGCAAAGGCUGCUGAACACGCCCCUCGAAGGCACCUGGUUGGAUGCCUGCCAAGGGGCGUGGGCGCCAGCCAGGUGAGAGGAGGAGGCAGGGGGCUAAUGCCCCCUGCUAGGGGCGGUGCUCGGGCUCCCGCCCACAACCACUCCCCUCUCUUCCAGGGAGGAGAGUCUUUGCUGAGAAUGGCUGUGCAUGUAAACACAUCUUCUAACUCCAUCGUAUGCAUGUCUGCACAGGUGUACAUCCCAUUGCACUCAACAGACUUUACUCCCAGGUAAGUGAGUCCAGGUUUGUAGCCUUAAAGCACAAAACUAGGCAGAUGAAAGUCCCACUCAGUUCAAAGGGAUUUGCUCCCAGGUAGGGAUGUGGGUGGAGUGGAGGGGGCGGUGGUGGGAAAUUCUAUUCAGUUCACAUUUAAAGGUGGAUCUAUCCCAUUUCCACUUCCUGAAAUGAUACCCAAAUGGAAACACAGUCAUCCUACACAAUUUGCAAUGCAUCCUCUGAAUUUAGCAAUACAGUUUUCCAACCAAGUAAUGUAUACAAGGGAUGCGGGUGACGCUGUGGGUUAAACCACAGAGCCCAGGGCUUGCCAAUCAGAAGGUCGGCGGUUCAAACCCCGCAAUGGGGUGAGCUCCCGUUGCUUGGUCCCUGCUCCUGCCAACCUAGCAGUUUGAAAGCACGUCAAAGUGCAAGUAGAUAAGUAGAUAUUGCUCCGGCAGGAAGGUAAACGGCGUUUCCGUGCACUGCUCUAGUUCGCCAGAAGCGGCUUAGUCAUGUUGGCCACAUGACCCGGAAGCUGUACGCCGGCUCCCUCGGCCAAUAAAGCGAGAUGAGUGCCGCAACCCCAGAGUCAGCCAUGACUGGACCUAAUGGUCAGGGGUCCCUUUACCUUUUAAUGUAUACAAAAAAAAAAAAAGCACACACUAGGUCAAUUGUUUACAAAAAUGCAUACAGUGGAACCUUGGUUCUCGAAUUUAAUCCAUUCCAGAAGUCUGUUCAACUCCCGAAAUGUUCGAAAACCAAGGCACGGCUUCUGAUUACUGUAGGCGCACCAGAAACAAUAGCCAACAGCUGCACCGGACGUUCGGCUUCCAAAAAACAUUUGAAAACCAGAAUACUUACUUCCGGGUUUUCAACGUUUGGGAGCCGAUUUGUUCGUCAACUAAGCCAUUCGAGGAUCAAAGUUCCACUGUAUAUUAGUGAAAAUUACAAAAAUGCAUUACAUAGGGAACAACUGCACAUUCCGGCAUUGUACGGGGUUGCAUUAGAUGACCCUCAUGGUCCCAACUCUACAAUUCUAGGUAGGCACCUCCUGUUUCUUCAACAUUCUUCAAAUGUCAACAUAAUAUCGCCAUCAACAUAUGCAUGAUAUUAAAUACAGAGGACCAGGAGAAGAGUCAUGUUGGAUGUCAACCACGUUUGGUUCAUCUAGACCAGCAACAUGUUUCCAAGAGUGGCCAGCCAGAUGAGGAGGAGGAGUACCAGAAGGAGAACUUGAAAAUAACAACCCUCCCCUCACCCUAACAAGAACAACUGCCUCUGAACCUGGAAGCUCCAUUUAGAUAUCAGGGCUAAUAGCUGUGUUGAUUUAAGGCUCACCCUCCAUGAAUUUGUCUCAUCCCCUUUCUAAGAACACAUAAGGAUAUGGAGUAACUGGUCACAUGUACACGAUACAUCUAAGGCACAUUUAAGGCACAUCCAAAGAACGUGGCUAGCCCCAGAGCAUUCUGGGAACUGUGGUUUGUUAAGGGUGCUGGGAAUUGUAGCUCUGGAAGGGCUAAACUACAAUCCCCAGGAUUGUUUGAGGAAAGCAACGUGCUUUAAAUGUACCGUGCUGGCUGUGAGUUGAAUAUCAAGAGACUCUGACAAGAUGUUGUCAAGCAGAUGCAGUAGAAAAGACACAGCUGUCAAAGGUUCACACCAAUUUGCGUCAGUUUUCCCCGUCGCUUUGAGUGCUGGCAAUAAAAUCUGGAAGUCAAAAAGUCCCCAGGAUGUUUCAUUGAACGCUGAUGCUGCCUCUUGCUUGUCAAGAUGGGGGUUAGAGAGGGGUGUGUGAGUCAGUGAGUAGAAAGACUACUGUAGAAAGGU
This is a non-coding RNA of Podarcis lilfordi (Lilford's wall lizard), 12190 nucleotides long. NCBI's taxonomy places the organism in Eukaryota, Metazoa, Chordata, Lepidosauria, Squamata, Lacertidae. The record is from the annotation of a GenBank genome assembly.